UGUUAUUGCAUGUUUGCCAUUGUUUAUGUUUGUGAAAAGGCCGAAUUAAAAGUCAGCCGGAUGGAGGCAAGUUUUACUCCAGGGUAAAUGCAGACUACAUCAGCGCAGGUGAGGACCGGUCUUUCUGAGUUCUCAUCCGGUCACACUGUGUGCCACGUGUGAGUUGAAUCUUCACCUUUCUCUGCUCUCUUCUCCAGAUGGAUUACCAGCCAAUGCUGUGUAUGAGGAAAUAGACCCUGCCACAGAAACAGAAGGUUCUGAAGUAGUUGGGCAGCACAGUUUCUAUUCAGCCGUUCAGUUAAAACCAUUAAACCAAGGUCCUACUGCAUAAUUGGACACAGGGAUCCACAUUCACUCAGUCUUACCUUCAUAUGUGAGGGAAUAUAUUCUUGCUAUAGGUACAUGCCACUAUAUCCUACUAUAUGUUUUCAUAUCAUAUGCAUUUUAAGGUCACUAUGUUGUACAUUAAAUAAUGAUAUGCAGUUGAACCACCCUAUUAAUUUCCUGCUCUGUUUUUAUAGUUUCCACAGUUAUCCUUAAAAUAUGACUCUGCAGAACUCAUAGGUCCUGUGUUGUGGAAAAUUGUUGUUGAAGUUGAUGAAACUUGAUGAAAAUGCAUUAAAUAAUUUAAUAAGUUUCUUAUCCAGGAGUUCUCAGCCCAGGUCCUGUGGGGCUAUACUGAAUCCCCCUUUUCAUUUCAUUACCCAGUGCUUAAUUGGUCAGUUAAAGUAGUUAACUGCAGUUAAUCCAACUCAUGUGGUUACUUGAAUCUAAGUUGGCUCCUGAAAACAGACGGUGGCAGACCCAGGCCUGGAUUAAUGCACAGGGUCACCCAGGCAGUAGUAAAGGUUGUCCUAGUCCCGAGGCCCAUGUCAUCUUAAUUCGGCCCUGGAUGCACCCUGUUCAUCAACAGGACCUGGGUUGAGAACCCCUAAUUUAAGGUAAUCAAACAUUUUGUAAUUCUGUAAUUUUGUCAAUGUUUAAGAGUUGGCAUUUGCUAACUAGUAUUCUUUUCUUGUAUUUAGAGAUAUGGUUAAAUGAAAUAGCAUUGGGACAGUGGCACACUUUUUGUCAUUUUGUCUCUGUACUCCA
Molecule: long non-coding RNA, 1092 nt
Organism: Anguilla anguilla (European eel)
Lineage: Eukaryota; Metazoa; Chordata; Actinopteri; Anguilliformes; Anguillidae
Exons: 3
Source: RefSeq, a predicted model, not a curated record